Long non-coding RNA from Erinaceus europaeus (western European hedgehog), 379 nucleotides. RefSeq lists it as uncharacterized. The record is from RefSeq and is a predicted model, not a curated record. The transcript is spliced from 3 exons. Lineage: Eukaryota; Metazoa; Chordata; Mammalia; Eulipotyphla; Erinaceidae.
AGCCUCCUUCAACUCCCUGGCUUAACCAGCAUGGCACAGAUUUGGGGGGGGUUAUAUUUGCCAGGACAUCUCCAGACAUACAGAUGUUUUUACUUGAUGGCAAAAAGACAUCUUCAGGGGCUGCGUGGCGGCACACCAGCACGGACCCCGAAGGCCUAAACAACAGACACCAUCAAGCCUUUUGUGGGUUUCAUCAGGGUCUCCUGCAUACAGUUUCACCACAGCAGGCAGACUUUCUCAGAUACAGAGAGGAAACAGAGACCGGAGGGAGAACCUCCCCCCAGCUCAGACCCGGGUGUCCACAGGUCUUAGGGCAGGCGCCCUCCCAGGUGAGCGAUCUCACUGCUCCUCUCCACUGCCAGCAGUCAAAAGUCACCCU